GAAAUGCGAUAAGUAAUGUGAAUUGCAGAAUUCAGUGAAUCAUCGAAUCUUUGAACGCACCUUGCGCUCCUUGGUAUUCCGAGGAGCAUGCCUGUUUGAGUGUCAUGAAAUCUUCAACUURCAAGCUCUUUGCGGGGUUUGUAGGCUUGGACUUGGAGGCUUGUCGGCCUUUAAUGGUCGGCUCCUCUUAAAUGCAUUAGCUUGAUUUCCUUGCGGAUCGGCUGUCGGUGUGAUAAUGUCUACUCCGCGACCGUGAAGCGUUUGGCAAGCUUCUAAYCGUCUCGUUACGGAGACAGCUUUAUGACCUCUGACCUCAAAUCAGGUAGGACUACCCGCUGAACUUAA
Molecule: ribosomal RNA, 345 nt
Filed under: Ganoderma applanatum
Lineage: Eukaryota; Fungi; Basidiomycota; Agaricomycetes; Polyporales; Polyporaceae
Description: eukaryotic LSU rRNA
Rfam family: 5.8S ribosomal RNA (bases 1-105)
Source: RNAcentral